Molecule: transfer RNA, 72 nt
Organism: Camelus ferus (Wild Bactrian camel)
Lineage: Eukaryota; Metazoa; Chordata; Mammalia; Artiodactyla; Camelidae
Rfam family: tRNA
About the family: Transfer RNA (tRNA) molecules are approximately 80 nucleotides in length. Their secondary structure includes four short double-helical elements and three loops (D, anti-codon, and T loops). Further hydrogen bonds mediate the characteristic L-shaped molecular structure. tRNAs have two regions of fundamental functional importance: the anti-codon, which is responsible for specific mRNA codon recognition, and the 3' end, to which the tRNAs corresponding amino acid is attached (by aminoacyl-tRNA synthetases). tRNAs cope with the degeneracy of the genetic code in two manners: having more than one tRNA (with a specific anti-codon) for a particular amino acid; and 'wobble' base-pairing, i.e. permitting non-standard base-pairing at the 3rd anti-codon position.
Source: Rfam
GAGGGUAUAGCUCAGUGUUAGAGUGCAUGCUUAGCAUGCAAGAGGUCCUGGGUUCAAUCCCCCGUAACUCCA